GUCCCUUCGGGGACAUCCGAUAAAAUUGAACGAUACAGCGAAGAUCAGUAUGGCCCCUGCACAAGGAUGAGAUGCACAAAUCGAGAAAUGGUACAAUGUUUU
Triticum aestivum (bread wheat) is the source of this 102-nucleotide non-coding RNA. The record is from Rfam. Lineage: Eukaryota; Viridiplantae; Streptophyta; Magnoliopsida; Poales; Poaceae.